GGCUUCUCUUUCCUCCCCGUCUCAGGCACUGGGCAUUUCCAGUCGAUCCAGCAGGUCUGGCUUCUCUCACAUAUGCAGUAAGGGUUAGGGGAGAAGGUCCCAGCUCCUCUUGUCUCUAGCAGAGUGUAAACUGGCUCUGCUGAGGAGGUGGCUGUGCUUUUAUUCCUUCUCCUGAGAACUGUUUAUAUAUUAAGGAGCUUCACAGCCUCCAACAUAAGGAAAGCAGGUAGGAACUGAUCAUAUAACGCUUUGUAAAUGUUUUAGACUUUGGCUUUAAUGGGAAAGAAAUGGGGAGCCAUUCGUGGGUUUUUGAGCAGCAGGUGGACAUUGCUUUUCAUAAUGACCACGCCAGCUGCUGUUUGGAGAAUAGACUGUAGGGGUCACUGCGCAAAUUGGAGGCCGCGAUCCAGGUGAGAACCAGGUGAAACAGAGCUCGGGCCAUGGAGUGGCGCUGGAGGCCUCAAACUUCUUCAUGGGAAAAGAUGGCUUCUCUUUUUUAAUUGAAUGAACUAGAAGAAGUUCAUUGUUAUUCAUCAACUUCAAAGAGACUAUAUGAGGCCCCUUGGCCAGGACUACAGAGCAGUAUUUUUUAAUCAGAAAUUAUAGCCAAAAAGAAGAGACCAGAACACAUGGGCAAUAAUUAAACAGGACAGAAAACCUCAGGAACUGGCCAGGUCGAAUUGCAUUUCCCAUGGGCAUAAAGUUCAAGAUGCUUUACUGGUUCCUUUCGAGACUGAACUACAGACACAGGACUACCAUCCAAACAAUUUGAAAACGGGGGUUGUUGAGCAAGGCGCGCAAGGCAGAAGCAACCGAAUAAACAAAAACAACACUCGCAAGAGUUAGCCA
This 849-nucleotide long non-coding RNA is filed under the name Homo sapiens (human). RNAcentral's name for it is "HSALNT0364463". The record is from RNAcentral. Lineage: Eukaryota; Metazoa; Chordata; Mammalia; Primates; Hominidae.